AUUCCUUUUGAUUUUGGAGGGAUAAAAAUAAUGAAAUUAUUUAUACAUGUUUGUGAAAGCGUAUAAGUGAGUUAAUUCCAUUUAUGGGUUCUAUCAGGAUUAAAAAAUAUAAACCAUUUUUUAACCUAAAACAGGAAGCGUUAAAGCCACGUUUUAACUGAAACAAAGAAAAAUUAUACAGCAGUAAAGAAAUCUAUACAAUUAAAGUAAUUUAGAUAUGGUUUUUCCUUUAGUCUUGUCAAAUUAAGUGCCAGCAGACGCGGUUAUACUUAAAAGGCAAAUUUUUAUAAUAAAACAGAUUAUAUGUGUAGCAUAUAAAGUUUAGUGUAAAGUACAUUAUUUAAACGGUUAAAUGUAUAGUAAUUGUAAUAUCAAAUAAUAAUUUAUUACACUUAACAAAGUGAAACAUGAAAAAAAGAAUAUUAAAUAGGAUUAGAUACCCUAGUAAAUCUUUUUAUAAAUUGAUUAAAUUCUAUCUGAACAGUACACUUUAAAGAGUGAAAAUCAAAAAUUUUGGCUGUUUACUUUCCAAUUAGAGGAGCAUGUAAUUUAAUUCGAUAAUCCGCGAAGUAUCUUACCUAUUCUUGAAUAUCAGGAGCUGCAUGGUCGUCGUCAGUUUAAAUUUAUAGUUUAAACUUAACCCCCCGGGAUAAAGUCAGAUGGUAUGACCCUUAUGAGUAGGCGUAUUAUGUGCUACAAUAAUUAUAUUAAUAUAAAUUUAAAUUCGGAUUAAUAUUGAAAAUUAUUAUGAAGGAGAAUUUAAUAGUAAAUAGAUAUAAGAAAGAUCUAUUGAAUAGGUUCAAGUAUGAGUACAAAUUGCCCGUCGCCUUUAUCAAUAAGCAAAUUAAAGAUAGAGCAAGUCGUAACAUAGUGGGGGUAAGGGAACUUGCCCCUGAAAUAUUUUU
Molecule: ribosomal RNA, 905 nt
Filed under: Laomedea flexuosa
Lineage: Eukaryota; Metazoa; Cnidaria; Hydrozoa; Leptothecata; Obeliidae
Description: small subunit ribosomal RNA
Rfam family: Microsporidia small subunit ribosomal RNA (bases 148-903)
Source: RNAcentral